CCUGAGAAACGGCUACCACAUCCAAGGAAGGCAGCAGGCGCGAAAAUUACCCACUCUCAAUGCGAGGAGGUAGUGACUAUCAAUAACGAGACAGAUCUCUAUGAGGCCUGUCAUCGUAAUGGGUACAAUGUAAACCCUUUAACGAGGAUCUAUGAGAGGGCAAGUCUGGUGCCAGCAGCCGCGGUAAUUCCAGCUCUCAUGGCGUAUAUCGUCAUUGCUGCGGUUAAAAAGCUCGUAGUUGGAUCUGUGCCAAUGUGCGUGGUUUCCCCUUCGGGGUUACUGCUGUGCUUGGUUUGUGUCGGUUUUCCGGCGUGGCUUUAAUCGGCUGCGUCGGUGGCUGACGAGUUUACCUUGAAUAAAUCAAAGUGCUCAAGACAGGCGUUUCGCUUGUAUGCUUCUGCAUGGAAUAAUGGAAUAGGACUUCGGUUCUUUCUGUUGGUCUUAGGAUCGAAGUAAUGAUUAAGAGGG
RNAcentral lists this ribosomal RNA (468 nucleotides) under uncultured eukaryote. RNAcentral's name for it is "SSU rRNA". It matches the Rfam family "Eukaryotic small subunit ribosomal RNA", at positions 395 to 877 of the family's 1831-position model. The record is from RNAcentral.